Molecule: long non-coding RNA, 732 nt
Filed under: Mustela putorius furo (domestic ferret)
Lineage: Eukaryota; Metazoa; Chordata; Mammalia; Carnivora; Mustelidae
Description: lncRNA (ENSMPUG00000024936.1)
Source: RNAcentral
CUGACGUGUGCAUAAACCCUGGGUAAUUUAGGGAGUGUCAGCACUUAAUUCUGAGAAUUCCUAUUUUACUACAUAGUAAGUAUUCCUUUUGAGAAAAUUCAAUCACACCUAAUCACUCACAUCGACACAGCAGACACUGUAGUGAAGAGUAUCUGCCCGCCAAUGGCAUUAUAACUGCGUUAAAUUAUUAAAUUACUAUUAAUCUGACAAAUUUAUCGUUGGGAAUAGUAAGAUAUAGUAAGAUACUGAAAAUAUUUCCACAGUGCUUUAAUUUAACAAGUUUUCCCAUCUACUUUUCUAUUUAACCUUCAAAGCAAUCCCUUGAGGAGGAUAUUAUUAACCUCAUUUUAUAUAAGAAGCAGUUAGGUCUUAGGAUAAGUAAGCUUCCCAAGGCCUCACAGGUAGUAAACAAGCUCAGUGCCCUUUCUUUUCCACUCAGAAAAAGUCCAUAAGGCCCCUACUUAAUGCUUACCCCACCCCACCCAGCNAAGGGUAACCUGACACGGAUCAGAACUAAACCAGGAAGCUGCCGCGUCGCCAUCAGACUAGUCACUCAUUCGUAAGGGGCCACUGUGAGUCAGUCUUGAUAUUAGAAGUUAAUGACCCAGUCACCACAACACCUCCUGUGCACAAGGCAUUAUCUUAAGUGGUACAAGUCUACAAAGUCUUAAAAUAUGGUAGAAGUACAUAUCAUAAUAAAAAGUAAAUAAAAUGCUAAAAGGGGGCAAACCA